RNAcentral lists this ribosomal RNA (273 nucleotides) under Escherichia coli. Its description in RNAcentral is "partial 23S ribosomal RNA". It matches the Rfam family "Bacterial large subunit ribosomal RNA", at positions 1 to 265 of the family's 2925-position model. The record is from RNAcentral. Lineage: Bacteria; Pseudomonadati; Pseudomonadota; Gammaproteobacteria; Enterobacterales; Enterobacteriaceae.
GGGUUGUGAGGUUAAGCGACUAAGCGUACACGGUGGAUGCCCUGGCAGUCAGAGGCGAUGAAGGACGUGCUAAUCUGCGAUAAGCGUCGGUAAGGUGAUAUGAACCGUUAUAACCGGCGAUUUCCGAAUGGGGAAACCCAGUGUGAUUCGUCACACUAUCAUUAACUGAAUCCAUAGGUUAAUGAGGCGAACCGGGGGAACUGAAACAUCUAAGUACCCCGAGGAAAAGAAAUCAACCGAGAUUCCCCCAGUAGCGGCGAGCGAACGGGGAGC